Molecule: ribosomal RNA, 428 nt
Filed under: uncultured Pseudomonas sp.
Lineage: Bacteria; Pseudomonadati; Pseudomonadota; Gammaproteobacteria; Pseudomonadales; Pseudomonadaceae
Description: bacterial SSU rRNA
Rfam family: Bacterial small subunit ribosomal RNA
Source: RNAcentral
CCUACGGGAGGCAGCAGUGGGGAAUAUUGGACAAUGGGCGAAAGCCUGAUCCAGCCAUGCCGCGUGUGUGAAGAAGGUCUUCGGAUUGUAAAGCACUUUAAGUUGGGAGGAAGGGCAGUAAGUUAAUACCUUGCUGUUUUGACGUUACCAACAGAAUAAGCACCGGCUAACUUCGUGCCAGCAGCCGCGGUAAUACGAAGGGUGCAAGCGUUAAUCGGAAUUACUGGGCGUAAAGCGCGCGUAGGUGGUUCAGCAAGUUGGAUGUGAAAUCCCCGGGCUCAACCUGGGAACUGCAUCCAAAACUACUGAGCUAGAGUACGGUAGAGGGUGGUGGAAUUUCCUGUGUAGCGGUGAAAUGCGUAGAUAUAGGAAGGAACACCAGUGGCGAAGGCGACCACCUGGACUGAUACUGACACUGAGUGCGAAAG